This 250-nucleotide ribosomal RNA is filed under the name uncultured bacterium. Its description in RNAcentral is "partial 16S ribosomal RNA". It matches the Rfam family "Bacterial small subunit ribosomal RNA", at positions 355 to 597 of the family's 1533-position model. The record is from RNAcentral.
UGGGGAAUUUUGGACAAUGGGCGAAAGCCUGAUCCAGCCAUGCCGCGUGAGUGAAGAAGGCCUUCGGGUUGUAAAGCUCUUUUGUCCGGGAGGAAAUCCUGACCCCUAAUACGGGUCGGGGAUGACAGUACUGGAAGAAUAAGCACCGGCUAACUACGUGCCAGCAGCCGCGGUAAUACGUAGGGUGCAAGCGUUAAUCGGAAUUACUGGGCGUAAAGCGUGCGCAGGCGGUUUUGUAAGCCAGAUGUGA